GUCCUAGUUGGAUUUCUGCGGGAGACAAGGGCCUACCUUACGGGUAAGUAUCUCUCAGGCUCCUGCAUCCUCAACAGGAACGUCGCUGCGAUUCAUUUCGUGGUACGGUACUGUUGACUUUUACUUUGAGGAAAUUAGAGUGUUCACGGCAAGCAAACGCGUGUAUACAUUAGCAUGGAAUAAUAAUAUAGGACCUUGGAUCUAUUUUGUUGGUUUCUAGGACUAAGGUAAUGAUAAAUAAGGGACAGUUUGGGGGCAUUUGUACUAACGCGUCAGAGGUGGAAUUCUUGGAUUGCGUUAUGACAAACUACUGCNAAAGCAUUUGCCAAGGGAUGUUUUCAUUGAUCAAGAACGAAAGUAUGGGGAUC
This 368-nucleotide ribosomal RNA is filed under the name uncultured eukaryote. RNAcentral describes it as "bacterial SSU rRNA". It matches the Rfam family "Eukaryotic small subunit ribosomal RNA", at positions 627 to 999 of the family's 1831-position model. The record is from RNAcentral.